UACAGAGGGUGCGAGCGUUGUUCGGAAUUAUUGGGCGUAAAGGGCGCGUAGGCGGUGCGGUAAGUCACCUGUGAAAUCUCCUGGCUCAACUGGGAGCUUGCAGGCGAAACUGCCGUGCUGGAGUGUGGGAGAGGUGCGUGGAAUUCCUGGUGUAGCGGUGAAAUGCGUAGAUAUCAGGAAGAACACCCGUGGCUAAGGCGGUUCUCUAGUACGGUACUGACGCUGAGACGCGAAAGCGUGGGGAGCGAACAGG
This 253-nucleotide ribosomal RNA is filed under the name uncultured bacterium. Its description in RNAcentral is "partial 16S ribosomal RNA". It matches the Rfam family "Bacterial small subunit ribosomal RNA", at positions 524 to 776 of the family's 1533-position model. The record is from RNAcentral.